Molecule: ribosomal RNA, 253 nt
Filed under: uncultured bacterium
Lineage: Bacteria
Description: partial 16S ribosomal RNA
Rfam family: Bacterial small subunit ribosomal RNA
Source: RNAcentral
UACGUAGGGGGCAAGCGUUGUCCGGAAUCAUUGGGCGUAAAGCGCGCGUAGGUGGCCAUGCAAGUCCGCUGUGAAAGUCAAAGGCUCAACCUUUGAAAGCCGGUGGAUACUGCAUGGCUAGAGUACGGAAGAGGCGAGUGGAAUUCCUGGUGUAGCGGUGGAAUGCGCAGAUAUCAGGAGGAACACCAAUAGCGAAGGCAGCUCGCUGGGACGUUACUGACACUGAGGCGCGAAAGCGUGGGGAGCGAACAGG